CAGCCGCCGCGGGAACACGGAGGGAGCUAGCGUUGUUCGGAAUUACUGGGCGUAAAGCGCACGUAGGCGGCUUUGUAAGUUAGGGGUGAAAGCCUGGAGCUCAACUCCAGAACUGCCUUUAAGACUGCAUCGCUUGAAUCCAGGAGAGGUGAGUGGAAUUCCGAGUGUAGAGGUGAAAUUCGUAGAUAUUCGGAAGAACACCAGUGGCGAAGGCGGCUCACUGGACUGGUAUUGACGCUGAGGUGCGAAAGCGUGGGGAGCAAACAGGAUUAGAGACCCCCGUAGUCCCUGUCUCUUAUAC
Molecule: ribosomal RNA, 301 nt
Filed under: uncultured bacterium
Lineage: Bacteria
Description: partial 16S ribosomal RNA
Rfam family: Bacterial small subunit ribosomal RNA
Source: RNAcentral